This 497-nucleotide ribosomal RNA is filed under the name uncultured bacterium. RNAcentral's name for it is "partial 16S ribosomal RNA". It matches the Rfam family "Bacterial small subunit ribosomal RNA", at positions 28 to 507 of the family's 1533-position model. The record is from RNAcentral.
GAUGAACGCUGGCGGCGUGCCUAAUACAUGCAAGUCGAGCGAACGGACGAGAAGCUUGCUUCUCUGAUGUUAGCGGCGGACGGGUGAGUAACACGUGGAUAACCUACCUAUAAGACUGGGAUAACUUCGGGAAACCGGAGCUAAUACCGGAUAAUAUUUUGAACCGCAUGGUUCAAAAGUGAAAGGCGGUCCUGCUGUCACUUAUAGAUGGAUCCGCGCUGCAUUAGCUAGUUGGUAAGGUAACGGCUUACCAAGGCAACGAUGCAUAGCCGACCUGAGAGGGUGAUCGGCCACACUGGAACUGAGACACGGUCCAGACUCCUACGGGAGGCAGCAGUAGGGAAUCUUCCGCAAUGGGCGAAAGCCUGACGGAGCAACGCCGCGUGAGUGAUGAAGGUCUUCGGAUCGUAAAACUCUGUUAUUAGGGAAGAACAUAUGUGUAAGUAACUGUGCACAUCUUGACGGUACCUAAUCAGAAAGCCACGGCUAACUACGUG